RNAcentral lists this long non-coding RNA (1240 nucleotides) under Homo sapiens (human). RNAcentral describes it as "HSALNT0362950". Lineage: Eukaryota; Metazoa; Chordata; Mammalia; Primates; Hominidae. The record is from RNAcentral.
UUUAAGGAGCAGUAUCUGGUGGGAAGGAACGAGCAAUGGAAGAAGAGCUUUCUUUCUUUGCCUUCUGUCUAGGGCAGGGGCUGAGUUCAUCAUACUAUCAUUCAUUUGUACACCAAGUCUUUUUUGAAUGUUUAUGACAGGUGUCAUGAAGAGGUACAACAGGGAAGAGGGCAAUCAUGGUCCCUGCCUUAGUGGAUCUUACGGCAUCUUGGGGGCACAGAUAAUAAACACCUGAAUCUGAAAAUUAUCCUUUGAGGAAGGCUGAGCAAGAAUUAAUUCCCCCAUUUUACAGAGGUCCUGCUAUGGUCCUGCUAUGUUACCCAAGGUGGUCUUGAACUCCUGGCCUCAAGCCAUCCUCCUGCCUCGGCCUCCCAAAGUGCCAAGAUUAUAGGCAUGAGCCACUGCACACCCAGCCUGCCGUGUGACAUCUGAGGCUAGAUUAUAAGAAUGCUAUGAGCUUCCACCUGGCUUUCAUGGACAGGAUGCUAACUCUUGGAACUCACCUGCCAUGUCGUGAGGAAGUCCAAAUCAUCCCACAUGGAGAGGCCUGUGAAGGUGCUCUAGCUCACAGCCCAGCUGAGGUCCUGGCUGACAGCCUGCAUCAUCUGCCAGGUAUGAGUGAAGAUGCUUCCAGAUGAUUCUAGCUCCCACUCUCAACUUGGAUUCUUCCCAGCAGAGGCUCCAGAAAUCAUAGAGCAGAGAUCGCCUCUCCCUACUCUGCUUUGUCCAAGUUCUGGGCUAUAAAAUCUAUGAGCAUGGUAGCAUGAUUGUUUUACACCAGAAAGUUUUGGGGUAGUUUGUGACAUAGCAACUGGUACAGAAAUUAUUUGCUAACAAGCAGGCAUCUCUCUCAAGGGGGAAAGUCUUCUGGUUAUCUUUGCACCCUUUUCUGGGGCAAAUAUGAUUGGUAGGGAUGAUGCCCAUCAUAGCACCAUUGCUUCAUCAGAGGCCGUUUGGAUCAAUGAGCCCUUCCGUGUUCUUUAGUCACAAUAUGUUAAUAUAUCUUACUUGUCCAUUUCCCACUGACUAGAAUAUCAGUUCCCUAUGAUAAGUUUUUUCCCCUAUUUUGUUUGUUCCUAUAUCCCCCAAACCCAAACUAGUACAGGUGCUCCUCACCUUAUGAUGGGGUUACCUCCCAAUAAACCCGCCAUAAAGUUGAAAAAUCCUAAGUUGAACCAUCUUAAGUUGAGGACCAUCUGUGCUUGGUAGUUGCUCAAUAAAUAAUUGUUGCAAUAAAAAA